This 1013-nucleotide long non-coding RNA is filed under the name Capra hircus (goat). RNAcentral's name for it is "lncRNA (ENSCHIG00000003978.1)". The record is from RNAcentral. Lineage: Eukaryota; Metazoa; Chordata; Mammalia; Artiodactyla; Bovidae.
AUCCUUUUUGAUCUGCGAAAUAAGAUUCAUUUAUGUUCCCCCAAACUGAUAAGUAGGUUUCCCAGGUGGGUGGCUCAGCGGUAAAGAAUCCGCCUGCCAAUGCAGAAGAAGCAGGUUUGAUCCCGGGGUUGAGAAGCUCCCCUGGAGAAGGAAAUGACAACCCACUUCAGUAUUCUUGCCUGGAGAAUCUCAUAGACAGAGGAGCCUGGCGGGGUCCACGGGGUCACGAAAAGAGCUGGACACAACUGAGCGACUAAACAACAAACUGAUAGGCAGGUGAAGGAAAUCUUUCCUUCUGACUGCACACAGCGGUUUUUCUCAGCACUAUCAUUCGGGGACGCUGAAACAUUACUUCUGGUGCCUGGUAGGAAAACGCCCCACCUCACCUCCGCCCCCGCAAUCUGAGCGCCGCCCCCCACCCACCGCCCCUGCAAUCUGAGGGGCCACAGAGGGGUAAAUACACUGGGAGUCACUGGAGCUUUCUCAGAGUCCUGGGGUGGGGGUUGGGGUGGGGUGGAACUGUUCGUUUGAAAUGUAAUAAAGGUUCCUCUCCACCAAACAGGGAGAAAAGCAAGGCUGUGAACACUUUAGAGUCAGCGCGGGAGGUCUUGUCGAUCCUAGCCUACCAACCAAUCAGCAGGGAUAGAUUCGACUCCGACUGCGAGCUCUUGGAUGCUAGAAGUUACCAAGGAUACGUAGGCUCUGCCCUGAAGGGAUGUGGAACCCAUUUGAAUCUGAAUCUAUGAAAUUGGAAGUUGAGUUGAAAAAAGCUUGGGAAGAGAAUUAGAAGAUCUGAGUCUGUGUCUACCUUUAGCCAAGUAACUUCCUUUCAUUGCGCCUCAGUUUCCUUAUCGGUGAAAUAAGAAUAAUGCCUGCUUUACCUAUCUCACACUGAUGUGGAGAGAAUAAGAUGAUUAGCAUGUGUGAGCAUGCUUAGGAAUGUGAAAAGCCUUAACAAAUUUAGGACGUAUUAUUUUAAAUGGAGUUUAAACACAUUCUGGCUUCAGGGGCAC